ACGAACGCUGGCGGCGUGCCUAAUACAUGCAAGUAGAACGCACAGUUUAUACCGUAGCUUGCUACACCAUAGACUGUGAGUUGCGAACGGGUGAGUAACGCGUAGGUAACCUGCCUGGUAGCGGGGGAUAACUAUUGGAAACGAUAGCUAAUACCGCAUAAUAUUAAUUAUUGCAUGAUAAUUAAUUGAAAGGUGCAAUUGCACCACUACCAGAUGGACCUGCGUUGUAUUAGCUAGUAGGUGAGGUAACGGCUCACCUAGGCGACGAUACAUAGCCGACCUGAGAGGGUGAUCGGCCACACUGGGAAUGAGACACGGCCCAGACUCCUACGGGAGGCAGCAGUAGGGAAUCUUCGGCAAUGGACGAAAGUCUGACCGAGCAACGCCGCGUGAGUGAAGAAGGUUUUCGGAUCGUAAAGCUCUGUUGUAAGAGAAGAACGGGUGUGAGAGUGGAAAGUUCACACUGUGACGGUAUCUUACCAGAAAGGGACGGCUAACUACGUG
This 504-nucleotide ribosomal RNA is filed under the name uncultured bacterium. Its description in RNAcentral is "partial 16S ribosomal RNA". It matches the Rfam family "Bacterial small subunit ribosomal RNA", at positions 29 to 507 of the family's 1533-position model. The record is from RNAcentral.